UACAGAGGUCUCAAGCGUUGUUCGGAUUCAUUGGGCGUAAAGGGCGCGUAGGCGGCUCGGUAAGUCGGGUGUGAAAUCUCGGGGCUUAACUCCGAAACUGCAUUCGAUACUGCCGUGCUUGAGGACUGGAGAGGAGACUGGAAUUUACGGUGUAGCGGUGAAAUGCGUAGAUAUCGUAAGGAAGACCAGUGGCGAAGGCGGGUCUCUGGACAGUUCCUGACGCUGAGGCACGAAGGCCAGGGGAGCAAACGGG
RNAcentral lists this ribosomal RNA (253 nucleotides) under uncultured bacterium. RNAcentral describes it as "partial 16S ribosomal RNA". It matches the Rfam family "Bacterial small subunit ribosomal RNA", at positions 524 to 776 of the family's 1533-position model. The record is from RNAcentral.